RNAcentral lists this unclassified non-coding RNA (322 nucleotides) under soil metagenome. RNAcentral describes it as "partial contains 5.8S ribosomal RNA, internal transcribed spacer 2, and large subunit ribosomal RNA". The stretch from base 1 to 120 matches the Rfam family "5.8S ribosomal RNA", at positions 35 to 154 of the family's 154-position model. The record is from RNAcentral.
GAUGAAGAACGUAGCGAAAUGCGAUAAGUAAUGUGAAUUGCAGAAUUCAGUGAAUCAUCGAAUCUUUGAACGCACAUUGCGCCCUUUGGCAUUCCGAAGGGCACACCUGUCCGAGCGCCGUCGCACAACUGAGGCGCAGCCUUGCGUUGGCGGGCGACUUGUGAGUAGCGAGUCGCCGCCCAAACGAGACGGCGCCGCGCCGCGGCCGACGAAGCACGAAAGCGGAAGUCGACGCGGAGGCGGUUGCCUGUAGGAAGACACAGCUUGGCCUCGGAUCAGGUGGGGAUACCCGUUGAACUUAAGCAUAUCAAUAAGCGGAGGA